This is a long non-coding RNA of Mauremys reevesii (Reeves's turtle), 859 nucleotides long. RefSeq lists it as uncharacterized. The record is from RefSeq and is a predicted model, not a curated record. Lineage: Eukaryota; Metazoa; Chordata; Testudines; Geoemydidae. The transcript is spliced from 3 exons.
GGUUUAUACUGACUGAUAUCAAUGCAGACCCCUCUGAAGCUCCUGAUUCAGGACCUCUUGUUUGCUUUUCUGAUGCCAGGUCACAGGCCCCUGUGAAGUUAUUGGCUCAGCACUUCUGGUUUGAUUUGGGCUGAGUUUUCAGGACAAACAGUAAAAGUGAGAGAUGGGGCUAGCACACGAUGAGAAAGGUUUCAGUGAUGCAGUCCUCAGGCCAAUGUACUAGUCCUCAUGUGGCCCUCGUGGUGAUUUGAGUUUGAGAUCCCUGCCUUACACAGGGCUGAAGCCAAAGGCACAAUCAAGCCCCUAAAGAAUAUCAAUGAAGCAAUCAGCGAAUGAAGAGAGAGCAGCAGCUUUCAGAGAUGAGUCUGAACAAACUCCCUCUCCCCACAAUCCAAGCAACCUUGAAUGCCAGAAAACACCGGACGCAGAUCCUAACAUUGCAGCUCUCUAGAACUGACCAAUAUCCCAUUAUUCUGCAGUACAGAAACCCUCCUAAGGACAAUCUGGCUCCCUGGAGUGGCGCAAAUGUUGAUGAGCUUAUGAUUGAAUACGUAAAACUCCACGAGAUACUGGCAGUGAAUCUUCACAACUAAAGCUGCAAAACCGCUUCACCAGAGCAGGAGCCUCUCUCAUUAUAUCAGAUGACAAAUGGAUCAAGCUACUUUGAAGCACGUUGCAAAUUAUAUCACAUUCAUGCAUAAUGGAAAUAAAUCUCAGUAACUUACUCUGAUGCAAUAGACAAGAUCUGAUCAAAACAAAAGUGGUAAAAAAUCCAAGUUAUAGGGAAUAUGUAGCAAUUUUCUUUCCCUAGGAUCAUAUCAGUCCAGCUAGAUUACUGCCUGCUGUCUAAUUAAAUGAA